GCUGUUAGAUGUGUAACAUGGUAUGAAAUUGUUUGCAAACUUCUCAAAUUGGUGCUAGUUCUUCCUGUUGCAAUAGCUGGGGGUGAGAGAGUCUUUAAAUCAAUGAACUAUAUAAAAAACAAGCUAAGAAGCAAGAUGGGGCAGAAAUACUUGAAUGAUUAUUUGGCCACAUUCAUUGAAAGGGAAUAUUUUUUCUUGGAAUUAAGGAUGAGGACACCUUCACUCAUUUUCAAAGCAUCAAGGAUGUCAAUGUCAUCCUGUAAUUGGUAA
RNAcentral lists this ribosomal RNA (270 nucleotides) under Triticum aestivum (bread wheat). Its description in RNAcentral is "partial small subunit ribosomal RNA". The record is from RNAcentral. Lineage: Eukaryota; Viridiplantae; Streptophyta; Magnoliopsida; Poales; Poaceae.